Molecule: ribosomal RNA, 497 nt
Filed under: uncultured bacterium
Lineage: Bacteria
Description: partial 16S ribosomal RNA
Rfam family: Bacterial small subunit ribosomal RNA
Source: RNAcentral
GAUGAACGCUGGCGGCGUGCCUAAUACAUGCAAGUCGAGCGAACAGACGAGGAGCUUGCUCCUCUGACGUUAGCGGCGGACGGGUGAGUAACACGUGGAUAACCUACCUAUAAGACUGGGAUAACUUCGGGAAACCGGAGCUAAUACCGGAUAAUAUAUUGAACCGCAUGGUUCAAUAGUGAAAGGCGGUUUUGCUGUCACUUAUAGAUGGAUCCGCGCCGCAUUAGCUAGUUGGUAAGGUAACGGCUUACCAAGGCAACGAUGCGUAGCCGACCUGAGAGGGUGAUCGGCCACACUGGAACUGAGACACGGUCCAGACUCCUACGGGAGGCAGCAGUAGGGAAUCUUCCGCAAUGGGCGAAAGCAUGACGGAGCAACGCCGCGUGAGUGAUGAAGGUCUUCGGAUCGUAAAACUCUGUUAUUAGGGAAGAACAAAUGUGUAAGUAACUAUGCACGUCUUGACGGUACCUAAUCAGAAAGCCACGGCUAACUACGUG